AGUGAACGCUGGCGGUAGGCCUAACACAUGCAAGUCGAACGGCAGCACAGUAAGAGCUUGCUCUUACGGGUGGCGAGUGGCGGACGGGUGAGGAAUACAUCGGAAUCUACUUUUUCGUGGGGGAUAACGUAGGGAAACUUACGCUAAUACCGCAUACGACCUACGGGUGAAAGCAGGGGAUCUUCGGACCUUGCGCGAUUGAAUGAGCCGAUGUCGGAUUAGCUAGUUGGCGGGGUAAAGGCCAACCAAGGCGACGAUCCGUAGCUGGUCUGAGAGGAUGAUCAGCCACACUGGAACUGAGACACGGUCCAGACUCCUACGGGAGGCAGCAGUGGGGACUAUUGGACAAUGGGCGCAAGCCUGAUCCAGCCAUACCGCGUGGGUGAAGAAGGCCUUCGGGUUGUAAAGCCCUUUUGUUGGGAAAGAAAAGCAGCAGGUUAAUACCCCGCUGUUCUGACGGUACCCAAAGAAUAAGCACCGGCUAACUUCGUG
This 492-nucleotide ribosomal RNA is filed under the name uncultured bacterium. RNAcentral describes it as "partial 16S ribosomal RNA". It matches the Rfam family "Bacterial small subunit ribosomal RNA", at positions 29 to 507 of the family's 1533-position model. The record is from RNAcentral.